Molecule: ribosomal RNA, 625 nt
Filed under: Helicobacter pylori
Lineage: Bacteria; Pseudomonadati; Campylobacterota; Epsilonproteobacteria; Campylobacterales; Helicobacteraceae
Description: bacterial LSU rRNA
Rfam family: Bacterial large subunit ribosomal RNA
Source: RNAcentral
CCAGCUAUUCUAGGCAUACAAUCUUAAAGUUAUGUCCGUGCUGCCAUAGCCGAUAAACCGAUGGUUAAGGAACUCUGCAAACUAGCACCGUAAGUUCGCGAUAAGGUGUGCCGCAGCAAUGCGGUCUCAGCAAAGAGUCCCUCCCGACUGUUUACCAAAAACACAGCACUUUGCCAACUCGUAAGAGGAAGUAUAAGGUGUGACGCCUGCCCGGUGCUCGAAGGUUAAGAGGAUGCGUCAGUCGCAAGAUGAAGCGUUGAAUUGAAGCCCGAGUAAACGGCGGCCGUAACUAUAACGGUCCUAAGGUAGCGAAAUUCCUUGUCGGUUAAAUACCGACCUGCAUGAAUGGCGUAACGAGAUGGGAGCUGUCUCAACCAGAGAUUCAGUGAAAUUGUAGUGGAGGUGAAAAUUCCUCCUACCCGCGGCAAGACGGAAAGACCCCGUGGACCUUUACUACAACUUAGCACUGCUAAUGGGAAUAUCAUGCGCAGGAUAGGUGGGAGGCUUUGAAGUAAGGGCUUUGGCUCUUAUGGAGCCAUCCUUGAGAUACCACCCUUGAUGUUUCUGUUAGCUAACUGGCCUGUGUUAUCCACAGGCAGGACAAUGCUUGGUGGGUAGUUUGACU